RNAcentral lists this unclassified non-coding RNA (87 nucleotides) under Pseudomonas sp. Z003-0.4C(8344-21). The record is from RNAcentral. Lineage: Bacteria; Pseudomonadati; Pseudomonadota; Gammaproteobacteria; Pseudomonadales; Pseudomonadaceae.
GUGGGAGCCAGCCUGCUGGCGAUAGCGGAGUGUCAGUCAUUAUCGAUGUGACUGACACACCUCAAUCGCCAGCAGGCUGGCUCCCAC